CAGUCGCCACGGGAAUACGUAGGUGGCAAGCGUUGUCCGGAAUUAUUGGGCGUAAAGCGCACGUAGGCGGCUUUGCAAGUCAGAGGUGAAAGCCCCGGCUCAACCGGGGAGGGUCAUUGGAAACUGGGAAACUUGAGUGCAGAAGAGGAGAGUGGAAUUCCACGUGUGGCGGUGAAAUGCGUAGAGAUGUGGAGGAACACCAGUGGCGAAGGCGACUCUCUGGUCUGUAACUGACGCUGAGGAGCGAAAGCGUGGGGAGCGAACAGGAUUAGAUACCCCGGUAGUCCCUGUCUCUUAUACA
This 301-nucleotide ribosomal RNA is filed under the name uncultured bacterium. RNAcentral describes it as "partial 16S ribosomal RNA". It matches the Rfam family "Bacterial small subunit ribosomal RNA", at positions 509 to 808 of the family's 1533-position model. The record is from RNAcentral.